Non-coding RNA from Acanthosepion pharaonis, 111 nucleotides. Lineage: Eukaryota; Metazoa; Mollusca; Cephalopoda; Sepiida; Sepiidae. The record is from the annotation of a GenBank genome assembly.
UACAGCCAUAUCAUGUUGAAAUACCAGUUCCCAUAUGAUCACCAAAUUUAAGCAAUAUCAAGCCUGUUCAGUACCUAGAUGGGUGACCUCUUGGAUAUGCAGGUGGUGUAA